RNAcentral lists this ribosomal RNA (253 nucleotides) under uncultured bacterium. Its description in RNAcentral is "partial 16S ribosomal RNA". It matches the Rfam family "Bacterial small subunit ribosomal RNA", at positions 524 to 776 of the family's 1533-position model. The record is from RNAcentral.
UACGGAGGAGGCAAGCGUUAUCCGGAAUUAUUGGGCGUAAAGCGUCCGCAGGUGGCACCUCAAGUCUGCUGUCAAAGACCGGGGCUUAACCCCAGAAAGGCAGUGGAAACUGAAGUGCUAGAGUGCAGUAGGGGUAGAGGGAAUUCCCGGUGUAGCGGUGAAAUGCGUAGAGAUCGGGAAGAACAUCGGUGGCGAAAGCGCUCUGCUGGGCCGACACUGACACUGAGAGACGAAAGCUAGGGGAGCGAAUGGG